This 253-nucleotide ribosomal RNA is filed under the name uncultured bacterium. RNAcentral's name for it is "partial 16S ribosomal RNA". It matches the Rfam family "Bacterial small subunit ribosomal RNA", at positions 524 to 776 of the family's 1533-position model. The record is from RNAcentral.
UACGAAGGGGGCUAGCGUUGUUCGGAAUUACUGGGCGUAAAGGGCGCGUAGGCGGUGUGUCAAGUCAGGCGUGAAAGCCCCGGGCUCAACCUGGGAACCGCGCUUGAGACUGGCACGCUCGAGUUCGGGAGAGGAUGGUGGAAUUCCAGGUGUAGCGGUGAAAUGCGUAGAUAUCUGGAGGAACACCGGUGGCGAAGGCGGCAUCCUGGACCGGUAUUGACGCUGAGGCGCGAAAGCCAGGGGAGCAAACGGG